Molecule: non-coding RNA, 367 nt
Organism: Lupinus albus (white lupine)
Lineage: Eukaryota; Viridiplantae; Streptophyta; Magnoliopsida; Fabales; Fabaceae
Source: the annotation of a GenBank genome assembly
AUCUUUGCGCUUGGGGCAAUGACGCAGCUAAUGAGGUUCUAACUGAGGCGCGUCUAUUGCUGGUUGAAAACUAUUUCCAAACCCCCUCUUAGGCCUGGUUUCAGCCCUGGCCUUCGAGAAUUUCUGGAAGGGCUCCCUUCGGGGUAAAGCCCUACAAAUUAGUUUCAAAUUUUUAUUCUCUGACGGAAAGAAUUCUUUAUUUAAUUAAAUGUCAAAUUUGGCUAUAAAUAAUGUUAUUUUUGCUCUUUUUAUUUUUUGGGUGUAAAUAUCGUUCUGUUAUGUUAACUUUUUGUGUAAAUAUUUUCUCAGUAAAUGAGUUGUAAUAUUCGGAGUUUUGUAUGUUUUAUGCUGUUAAAUAAAUUUUACU